GUGGUCCAGGCAGUCGCCUGCCCGAAAGGGCGGGAGGAAAGUCCGGGCUCCACAGAGCAGGAGGGUUGCUAACGGCAACCGGGUGCGCCUCAAAGGCGCAUCCAGGGAAAGUGGCACAGAGAACAGACCGCCCGGCUUGUUUGCCUGGCCGUGACGAGGGCCCGAAAACUCGCACGGCCGGACGAAGCCCGAAAGGGUUCGGGUAAGGGUGAAAAGGUGGGGUAAGAGCCCACCGCGCGGCCGGAGACGGUCGUGGCAGGCCAAACCCCCUCCGGAGCAAGGCCAAAUAGGGACCAAGGGACUGCUCGUCCCGCUGCGAAUGUGUCGCGAGAGGUCCGGGUAGGCUGCUGGAGCGACGGGGCAACCCGCCGCCUAGACGAAUGACCGCCGCCCCGCAAGGGGAAACAAAACCCGGCUUACAAGACCACAAAG
Molecule: RNase P RNA, 432 nt
Filed under: Planctomycetota bacterium
Lineage: Bacteria; Pseudomonadati; Planctomycetota
Description: RNase P RNA component class A
Rfam family: Bacterial RNase P class A
About the family: Ribonuclease P (RNase P) is a ubiquitous endoribonuclease, found in archaea, bacteria and eukarya as well as chloroplasts and mitochondria.
Source: RNAcentral